This is a long non-coding RNA of Nomascus leucogenys (northern white-cheeked gibbon), 1016 nucleotides long. RefSeq lists it as uncharacterized. The record is from RefSeq and is a predicted model, not a curated record. The transcript is spliced from 3 exons. NCBI's taxonomy places the organism in Eukaryota, Metazoa, Chordata, Mammalia, Primates, Hylobatidae.
GCUGGAACACCCUUCUUCUCCUGCCUUUGGACAUCAGAACUUCAGAUUCUCUGGCCUUCAGACUUUGAGACUUGCACUAGUGGCCCCCUGGGUUCUCAAGGUUUUGGCCGCCUCGGUUGAGAAUUACACCAUCAGCUUCUUUGGUUCUGAGGCCGCUGGAGUUGGACUGAGCCAUGCUAUCGGCUUCCCUGGGUCUCCAGCCUGCAGACUGCCUACUGUGAGAUUUAGCCUCCAUAAUCACGUAGCGGAAUAUUGGCUUGUAGCACUACUCAAAACACAGAAAGCAGAAAUAAAUCAAUUCUUCCUGGAGGACCUCCUGCAUCUCAACACCCAGUGGUUUUGACAGAAUUGAUACAGAAAUAGAAACUUCAAGCAACCUUGCGAUGGAGGCAGAAGAAGGAUUCUAUGAUUGGAAACCUGUCAGACUCACGGGCUACGGAGAAGAGAGGCUAAAUCCACACCAGACUGUUGGAUGCAGCUACAACAAAUUUCCCUCCGUGGCUCCAUUUCUUAUGAAUAUACUCAUAGAAAUGCACAAGAACUGAAAACUCGAUAGGGAAACCAAAAAAUAAAAAUUAAAAAAAAAAAGCUGUAAACCAAUGUUUCUUAAAACAUGCUCUGCAGAACACUGGUUUGGUGGAAUGUAAAGUGUUCUUUCAUAUUAAAGGAGUUGCGUGUUAAUCGUGUUUCUCUGCCGUAGGACUCUCAUUGCAUUAAUAUGUCAAUUUCCAUUGUGAAUUUCUCAGGAGAGAGAGGGACUAUGUGAUAUUCCUCAAAUGCAUGAGGUCAUGGAAGCUAAGAGCAGAAGAGCGUUAGGAUAGCACAACAGCUCCUUGCAUGUAGUGGAAAUCACAAAGUUCAGGGGGACAUUUUACUGGCUGUAUUGUCAGUAGGAUGAAUACUACAUGCUGCAUCUUCUGAACUAUAAUACGGUAUCCCUGAGAAACAAAAUUAGAGGAAAUAUUGAUCACAUCUCACCAUUUCCAGCUAAAACUAAGAUGCAGAGUCUGCAAUGA